GAAUUGUAGGGGGGCUGCUCCUAGUACGAGAGGACCGGAGUGGACGCAUCACUGGUGUUCGGGUUGUCAUGCCAAUGGCACUGCCCGGUAGCUAAAUGCGGAAGAGAUAAGUGCUGAAAGCAUCUAAGCACGAAACUUGCCCCGAGAUGAGUUCUCCCUGAGACUUUAAGUCUCCUGAAGGAACGUUAAAGACGAUGACGUUGAUAGGCCGGGUGUGUAAGCGCAGCGAUGCGUUGAGCUAACCGGUACUAAUGAACCGUGAGGCUUAACCUUACAACGCCGAAG
RNAcentral lists this ribosomal RNA (285 nucleotides) under Klebsiella pneumoniae. RNAcentral's name for it is "partial 23S ribosomal RNA". It matches the Rfam family "Bacterial large subunit ribosomal RNA", at positions 2659 to 2925 of the family's 2925-position model. Lineage: Bacteria; Pseudomonadati; Pseudomonadota; Gammaproteobacteria; Enterobacterales; Enterobacteriaceae. The record is from RNAcentral.